Molecule: long non-coding RNA, 1461 nt
Filed under: Vombatus ursinus (common wombat)
Lineage: Eukaryota; Metazoa; Chordata; Mammalia; Diprotodontia; Vombatidae
Description: lncRNA (ENSVURG00010016516.1)
Source: RNAcentral
GCCCCUCCUGUGAUCAAAACCCCAGCCCUCUGGUACACAACGCCCUAUUAUCUCCCCCCAACGGAUCAUUACCUGGUCCCUGCCCCUCCCCCAGCUCCAAGACAGGCUCUCAGGCCCCUCGGGAUCUUCUUAAGCUCCGGGUCCUGGCCCCUCCAAUCCUGGCCCGUGGCCCCCGGCCACCCCUCCCCGCCCCCCAAGAGGCCCUGCCCUCGCCUUCCUCUCCCCCUCCCACCAUGCUCCACCGCCACUUCCGCCUGAGUCCGCCGGAAGUGAAUCCAGGGCAACUGCAGCGGCCCGGAGCCCCGCCUCUUCAUGGUCCCCUCGGUCCAGACUCCGACAGAAGGCCUUGGACUUCCCUCAGCCCCAUCUGCUCUGGCCAAGGACAAAAGACAGAGGUCUUCCAUAGUACUUACAGUCCCCGAACAGGAGGAUAUCCCAACAUCAGGAGUGCUACACACUGAGGCCUGACCAAGAUGUACUUAGAAGGUAAUGCAGGACUUGGAGGGGAGGGAUUCAAAGAAACAUAGGAAAUUAAUGGAAAGCCUCAGGGGACCAACCUUUUACCUUGUAUGGCUUAUUGUGUUGUAACAAUAUUAGAAUAAUUAGCUUAUUUUAAACCUAUAGGGCAAAAUAAUGGUCCCUAAAUCUAUUUACUUCCCUCCUAUUCAGAUUUAGGAAAUUUAUUUUAGCUGAAAAGUUCUGAGUUCAGUCACAGUCACUCGCAGAGUACUGACUUGGGAAAGUUUUUAUCACCUAAGCUGAUCCUCACCACUACCUCUUAGAAUCCCUUUUUGACACUUACCUCAAGUGCCACUAUCUUCUAGAAGCCUUUCCUGAUUCCCCAAACUUGUGCCUUCCAUUACAAAAUUAUCUUGUAUGAAUUUUGUAUAUUCCUAUGCAUGUAUACAUUGUCUCCCUUCCCUCAAUUGUAGGGCCUCAAGAUUAGGGACCCUUUCACUUUUGUCUUUGUAUCCUCAGUGACCUGCACGGUCCCUGGCACAGAGCAGGUAUUCAGUAAGUACUUGUUGAAUAAUUGCCAUGCUCCUUGAACAUACAAUCUCUUGAAGCUACAGAACUCAAAUAUUUGCAGAGGUUGGACAGUCACUUUGAUGGUGCUGAGAAUAAUAAUGAUAGCUCUAUGUAGUUUCUUAAUACCAUCCCACAACAUGGGAGAAAAGCGGUCCUGAUUCAGAGAACAGUAAUGAAAAAGGGCUAUACCUGUGGAAAGCAUGGAUCAUGGUAGACAGAGCCAAGCAAUCAAGGCAGUGGUACAAGAUGAAGCCAUGUAGGUGAAAUUAGUAAUGUGUAUAUGCAAAGGUGCCCUUCAGGCAUGCAGGAUGUAUAUGGUUACAGUAAUGGAGACAGUAGGCAAAAGCUAAAAAAUUUGACCAUACACAUAACAGGGUUUCUUCUCAGGGAGACUAACUCAAAUCUAUCAAAUCAUACUGAGAAAAAUUUGAA